CCUGACCCUAGAGUCACUUCAGUGUGGCAUCAGUGUCACAUGGGCAUCAGUAGGUGGCAGAGAGGACAAGGGCUAUGUCUAUGCUCUGACCUAUGAACAUCUGAAUGGUUAGUAAGUAGCCUAAUAUU
Molecule: small nucleolar RNA, 128 nt
Organism: Arvicanthis niloticus (Nile rat)
Lineage: Eukaryota; Metazoa; Chordata; Mammalia; Rodentia; Muridae
Product: small nucleolar RNA SNORA17
Source: RefSeq, a predicted model, not a curated record